GUCCACGCCCUAAACGAUGUCUACUAGUUGUCGGGUCUUAAUUGACUUGGUAACGCAGCUAACGCGUGAAGUAGACCGCCUGGGGAGUACGGUCGCAAGAUUAAAACUCAAAGGAAUUGACGGGGACCCCGCACAAGCGGUGGAUGAUGUGGAUUAAUUCGAUGCAACGCGAAAACCUUACCUACCCUUGACAUGGACGGAAUCCUGAAGAGAUUUGGGAGUGCUCGAAAGAGAGCCGUUACACAGGUGCUGCAUGGCUGUCGU
This 264-nucleotide ribosomal RNA is filed under the name uncultured bacterium. RNAcentral's name for it is "partial 16S ribosomal RNA". It matches the Rfam family "Bacterial small subunit ribosomal RNA", at positions 793 to 1055 of the family's 1533-position model. The record is from RNAcentral.